Molecule: ribosomal RNA, 415 nt
Filed under: uncultured bacterium
Lineage: Bacteria
Description: bacterial SSU rRNA
Rfam family: Bacterial small subunit ribosomal RNA
Source: RNAcentral
AUUGAACGCUGGCGGCAUGCCUUACACAUGCAAGUCGAACGGCAGCACGGGAGCAAUCCUGGUGGCGAGUGGCGAACGGGUGAGUAAUAUAUCGGAACGUGCCCAGUCGUGGGGAUAACGUAGCGAAAGCUACGCUAAUACCGCAUACGAUCUAUGGAUGAAAGCGGGGGAUCGCAAGACCUCGCGCGAUUGGAGCGGCCGAUAUCAGAUUAGGUAGUUGGUGAGGUAAAGGCUCACCAAGCCGACGAUCUGUAGCUGGUCUGAGAGGACGACCAGCCACACUGGGACUGAGACACGGCCCAGACUCCUACGGGAGGUAGCAGUGGGGAAUUUUGGACAAUGGGCGCAAGCCUGAUCCAGCAAUGCCGCGUGCAGGAUGAAGGCCUCGGUUGUAACGUAGCUUUGUUACGGUAAC